GAUGAACGCUGGCGGCGUGCCUAACACAUGCAAGUCGAGCGAUUUACUUCGGUAAAGAGCGGCGGACGGGUGAGUAACGCGUGGGUAACCUGCCCUAUACACACGGAUAACAUACCGAAAGGUAUGCUAAUACGAGAUAAUAUAAGAGAUUCACAUGGAUUUCUUAUCAAAGCUGAGGCGGUAUAGGAUGGACCCGCGUCUGAUUAGCUAGUUGGUAAGGUAACGGCUUACCAAGGCGACGAUCAGUAGCCGACCUGAGAGGGUGAUCGGCCACAUUGGAACUGAGACACGGUCCAAACUCCUACGGGAGGCAGCAGUGGGGAAUAUUGCACAAUGGGCGAAAGCCUGAUGCAGCAACGCCGCGUGAGUGAUGAAGGCCUUCGGGUCGUAAAACUCUGUCCUCAAGGAAGAUAAUGACGGUACUUGAGGAGGAAGCCCCGGCUAACUACGUGCCAGCAGCCGCCGUAA
This 468-nucleotide ribosomal RNA is filed under the name uncultured bacterium. RNAcentral describes it as "partial 16S ribosomal RNA". It matches the Rfam family "Bacterial small subunit ribosomal RNA", at positions 28 to 523 of the family's 1533-position model. The record is from RNAcentral.